RNAcentral lists this long non-coding RNA (453 nucleotides) under Homo sapiens (human). Its description in RNAcentral is "HSALNT0318766". Lineage: Eukaryota; Metazoa; Chordata; Mammalia; Primates; Hominidae. The record is from RNAcentral.
CUGAACAGACAUGCUUCCUUCCCUCAUGGAGUUUAUAUUGCAAUUGAAUCUGGUUCCGAGACCUUCUGAUUCUGAUUCAGCCUUCUAAGUUCAAACCAAAGCAGAGCAUUUUCAACUUCUUUAAUGAGAAGCAUGUUCAGCCAGCAAAGAAGAAGAAGAAAAAUGGUUAUAGACAAGCAACCAACAGUAUCUGCCAUAGCUAUUUUAUAGCUGUUUAAACUUGGCUGGGGGUGAAAGAUGCCCUUCAGUGUCCCAAAUGAGAGAAGAGAAUUUUAAUUGGGAGUGGCCAAGGUUCACAAUUUCAGCCUGGAGGAAAGUAAAUUAAAGAGGGAAAUUUGGAUACACAAAGAGAUGCCAGGGAUUAACCUACCCAGAGGAAAGGCCACGUGAGGACACAGCAAGAAGGUGGCCGUCUGCAAGCCGAGAGAGGCCUCAGAAGAAGCCAAACCUGCU